CUGACGGUACCUGAUGAAUCAGCCUCGGCUAACUCCGUGCCAGCAGCCGCGGUACUACGGAGGAGGCAUGCGUUAUCCGGAAUUAUUGGGCGUAAAGCGUCCGCAUGUGGCGAUUCCAGUCUGCUGUCAAAGCACGGGGCUUAACUCCGUUCAUGCAGUGGAAACUGAAUAGCUAGAGUGCCGUAGGGGUACAGGGAAUUCCCGGUGUAGCGGUGAGAUGCGUAGAGAUCGGGAAGAACAUCGGUGGCGAAAGCGCUCUACUGGACGGUAACUGACACUCAGGGACGACAGCUAGGGGAGCGAAUGGGAUUAGAUACCCCACGUAGUCCUAGCUGUAAGCGAUGGAUACUAGGUGUAGCUGGUAUCGACCCGAGCUGUGCCGAAGCUAACGCGUUAAGCAUCCCGCCUGGGGAGUACGCACGCAAGUGUGAAACUCAAAGGAAUUGACGGGGGCCCGCACAAGCGCUCGGACGUAUGUCGGUAGAAACAGAUGCAACGCGAAGAACCUAACCAGGGCACGACACGUCCGGAAUCCCGGUGAAAGCUGGGAGUGCCAUCGGGAGCCGGAACACAGGUGGUGCAUGGCUGUCGUCAGCUCGUGUCAGUGAGAUGUUGGGAUAAGUCCCGCAACGAGCGCAACCGUGGUCUUUAGUUGCCAGCAUUAAGUUGGGCACUAUAGAGAGACUGCCGGUGACAAACCGGAGGAAGGUGGGGAUGACGUCAAGUCAGCAUGCCCCUUACGCUGUGGGCGACACACGUACUACAAUGGUCGGGACAGAGGGCAGCGAACCUGCGAAGGCAAGCUAAUCCCAGCAAACUCGGCCUCAGUUCAGAUCGCA
This 839-nucleotide ribosomal RNA is filed under the name uncultured organism. Its description in RNAcentral is "bacterial SSU rRNA". It matches the Rfam family "Bacterial small subunit ribosomal RNA", at positions 469 to 1302 of the family's 1533-position model. The record is from RNAcentral.